UCAACUACCCAUUCAUUAUUAGUUGGUUCAACCUAGCAAAAAUUAGCUAAUAGUUAGAGCAUCUCUAAGAGUCUUUUUAAAUUUUACUUUCUAAUUUACCUUUUAAAGAGUCUGUUUGUAACACCCCACUGGUCACACACAAUGGAUAAUACCACAAACCCCACCCACCAAACUUACUCAACACAAGAGAAGUAAUAAAGAAAGAAUAUAUAGCAAAAUCCGGCAGCACCUCCUUUGAAAACUAGCAUAACAAGGAGGGGAAUCAUGAAGCUCAUACAAGAUAUAAAGACAUAUAAUUCACAUAGUAGAAACUGAAAUGCAAUAGUGGCAAAACUUAAUUAUGACCCAACUGAAGCAAAACAAAUGGGAUAAGAAACUCAGCCCACCCCAAAAUAAACGCUCAACCAAGAACAAAGCAAUUCACUAGACUUGUCCAACUCUGAUUAACAACAUUAUUAAAUGGUGGUUCCUUUAUUAAAGGUGUAGUGGCCGUGCUGCUACAUCCCUCUAUUCCCAAAGCAGAAAUUAGGUGCCUGCAUCAAACAAUGCAAGAUGUGAGAUAACACAUCUCAGCAAGUAAACAUAACAACAACAAAUAGGACAUUGUAAAUCAACUGUGCUUACACAACCACGUGUUCAGGACUUCUUUCUUUUCUUUUGAACAGUAAAUUGCAGCAAGUAAACAAGUAACUAAAAGCUCAACGCCAAGUAGAAUCACCAUGCACAAGUCCAAAUUAUCCACAUCCACAUAAUAGAUUCAACACCUCUCCCAUGAAUGCACAUGGCUACAAAUGCAAUAAUGACUUCUGCCUCCAUAUCUCUAAGGAUAUGAAGCUGCACCAUACCCCUUCUCGGGCAACAUAUGAUGCUCAAUGUACCGGUACGGUCGGACCAUAAGAUCGCGACGAAACUUCAAUGCAAUGGAUGAUGAGUGCAUUAUGCAUGACAACAUCAUGAGUUCUUCCCAAAUAAAAAUGUGCUAGACAUUUACUUCCACCCAUUCCACAUAAUAACCACUUGAGUAACAUAAUCAAACCUCAAACUCAACAUAUGAAAUUCAUGAAACAUGAACAUUUUCAAAUCAUGGUACUCAAAAGAAACUAUGAAUUUGAACAUAAUAGCACAACAUAAACAAGUAUAAGACUCCUCAUCUGACAGACGGAAUAACCAUCACAGUUUUACUUGCCUUCACCGGAAGUUUGGGCAAAUCCCUAAGAACGAUCUGGGAGUCCACCACCUAUUUUUGACACCCAACUUAGUGCACCAAAUUCACAUAAAAAACUCAACACAACGCCGCACCUACGCGCAAUCUCCAACCCCGCCGCGGGUAACAAUUCUCCCCACACCAACCAAACUGCAGCGACGCUUCUUAACAAUUCCAUAACUUUAAAAUUAAGACAGCAGUGGUGUCAAACAAAAACUCCAGAGGCAACUACAUAAAAUUCCCCACAAGUUUUGUAUACAACUUAUGAUUAAAUUCUAACAUCUAAUUACCCCUAAACGGUCCAUAAAAUAAACCCUGCAAUCUGUUUUUUUUUCUGUUUUGGGCAGCGACAUACUCGGAUUCAAACAGCGAUAACUUUUAAAAUAUAAUUCCGAAUCAAGCGCAUAAGUACUUGUUGGAAAGAUAAGAAAGAGCCCUUCAUGAUUCUUAUACUGAUUAACCCUAAUUACUCCCGAAAAAUCCCCAGAAACUGCUAAUACUGCUGCUGUUCAUCCCCCUGAAAAUCUGUUUUUUUGGACAGCCACAUACCCACAUUCAAACGGUGAUAACUUUCAAUUUAUAACUCCAAAUUGAGCGCAUAAAUACUCGUUGGAAAGGUAAGACAAAGUUCUACAUGAUCCCCAAACUGUUUUCCCUUAAUUUCUCACGAAAAAAACACAGAACUGCUAGAACUACUGCUGUUCAUCCACCACCUAAAAUUCUGGACAGCCCCCUCUACCCAAUCGCAUACGCAACCUCUAAUCAAUUAAAUUGCAGCGCAAAUGAACAAGGGAUGAACACAAAAAUCACCUUGGAUUCUCCCCCUUUCCUUCCUCCCUUCUUCCCUCCACCAAAACGAUUGAAGACUCGCACCACGUGACGAUGAUUCGAGCGGCAAGGAUUGGUACCUUGGGAGGAGGGGAUUGAGGGGGGGGGGCUAGGGUUUGGUGGCUGCAACAAUGGAGAGAGGAGGAGAUGGGCAGGGGGGGCGGCGGCCAAGGGGAAAGAAGUG
RNAcentral lists this long non-coding RNA (2216 nucleotides) under Zea mays. RNAcentral's name for it is "long non-coding RNA (ZMAY_LNC002013)". Lineage: Eukaryota; Viridiplantae; Streptophyta; Magnoliopsida; Poales; Poaceae. The record is from RNAcentral.